CAGUCUUUCUCGGCUGAGUUUAACAGGAUUGAAAAACCGAAGAGCAAGAACAACAGCAGCUGGUUGACACAGAAUACAUCAUUAAAGGCAUGUCUUCUUAUAUGUUGAUUGUGUUGGUGGUUAUCUUGUCGUCAUGUGUGUGGCAGACGGAGGCUGCGUGCUGCAGAGCAACUAAGGGUUACUGCAAGGACUGCACAAGAGGAACGCCCUACUGUGGCUAUAGACGAUGCAAUAUAUUCGGAUGUAACUGCGGUGGUGGUUGUCGAUAUCGCUCUGGAUGUUAUUUAAGUAAACA
Molecule: long non-coding RNA, 295 nt
Organism: Lingula anatina
Lineage: Eukaryota; Metazoa; Brachiopoda; Lingulata; Lingulida; Lingulidae
Source: RefSeq, a predicted model, not a curated record